AACUACGUUGUUUAAUAUAUCAUUUCAUCCAUAUACCUAAAGUCGAUCUUGAGACUUAGUCUUCAAUUCGAUCUCAACUCGGCCUCCUCAAGCCCUCACGCCUCUUCCACCCUCUUCCACCCUCGCAGAAGACAGAGGCUCUUCCACCAUCGCAGAAGACAGAGGCUCUUCCACCACCUUCCACCCUCUUCCAGCAGUAAAGGCCGAAUGACCCAAUCGUUCUGACAGCCACUCUUAAUCUUGAGGAAAUAAGUGAAAAAAACAAAGAAAACUGUUCCAAGAAUGCGGUUCCACAUUAUUUUGGAUCGAUGUCCUUCAUCAGACGUUACGGUGCUUAUGUCAAACUCAAAGAAAGGCAGAGCCAAGAAAAUAAGGACGGUGAAAGGGAUGAGGAUCCUGCUAUUCGCUUGUACAAGGACACACAUUUUAAGGAACAAGGAGGAUGGGCACACGAGAAAGCUAAGAGAAAUUUUAGAGGGUGAGUUUGCAAACCCACCUGCUUGUAGAAGAAGCUGUGCUGCCCUUUUUGCUGUGCAAGUGAGAUAUUUUAUAAAUGUAAAUGCCUGGUUUGUAUUAUGAAUUUCUUUGAGAGGGGAGAAUGAUGAAAUGUUGAGAAAAUGACAUUUUUGUUUCUAGUUUCUAAUAUCAAAUCUUGAAUAUGUGUAAAGUAUUCAAAAUGUUUCCUUAAAGUAGAUUGCUUUCAGAUAAAAAGUGCUUACAAUUAAUAUCAGUUGUCAUUUGUCAUUGCAGU
This is a long non-coding RNA of Cornus florida, 751 nucleotides long. RefSeq lists it as uncharacterized. The record is from RefSeq and is a predicted model, not a curated record. The transcript has 4 exons. NCBI's taxonomy places the organism in Eukaryota, Viridiplantae, Streptophyta, Magnoliopsida, Cornales, Cornaceae.